AUGGCAGCGGUGGAUCUGAUCGCGUCCUGCCAAGACUCCAUCCGCCAGAUUGGAGAUGAGAUUGCAGAUGCGCUAGUGUACCUAGAUGCAGGCACUCUGGAGGCGUUCCAGUUUAUAGGAGCAUUCCCUCUGCUUCUCGAGCUCAGAGCUCGUGCGGUGUGCAGCUUGGAAAGCACGUCUCCUCUUGAUGCUGCUGCUGAGUGGAAUUCAAGUUUUGCUCAUCCAGCAAGGAAGAUUGUCUUUAUUACAUCACGCCUUCUUAGUGAUGCACAUCGGUAUAUUAUACGCUGCUUGGGCAACCAUGGAACUGUUUCACAUUGUACUGUAUUGACAGCGAUUUCCGAGAUUGGUCACUCAGCAUACGUUGAUUCCCCACUCGGACCAGAUGCUUUCCGGGAGUAUGAGAUAUUACUCAUUCAGGACCAUGAGGAGCUUCUAAAGAAGUGUGGGAAGUUGAACAAGGACAAAGAUAACAUCCCAUACACAGAAAGAGAUUUCACCUCAGAUGGUGAUACUAAGUGGGGUUCUGGGGUGCACUAUGGCCCUUCUGAAUCUAGCCCGAGAAAAAAGGAUUUUUCUGAUGAUGACUUAGGUCAGGUUGAACCAAGAGGAAAGAGGUUGUCUGUAACCGUGUGUCACUUUCCGAUGAUUUUCUCUCCUAUUUCCUCAAGGACUUUUGUUUUACCUUCGGAAGGUACAAUUGCUGAAUCAUAUUUGUCAAAUCACCGUGAGGAUUCCCUUAGCCCUGGUCUACCCUCCAUAUCUACUGGUAAACCUUUUGAUGGCGAUGAGGUCCCCCCAGGACUAACCUUGACUGCUCAAUUCUUGUACCACUUGGCCAAUAAGAUGGACCUAAAGCUUGAUAUAUUUUCACUUGGUGAUACAUCAAGGGCCAUUGGGAAGUUGAUGAUGGAUAUGUCAAGUCUAUAUGACGUUGGUCGUAAUAAGAGUUCUGCUGGUCUACUGAUUGUAGAUCGUACAAUUGAUCUCCUAACUCCUUGCCUUCAUGGCGACUCAUUUCUUGAUAGGAUGCUGUCCUCGUUGCCACGCAAGGAAAGGACUUCAUCCUGUUAUGCGGCAAAAAAUCCUCAAACUCCCAGCAAGCAUUCCCAAGCUACUGUAAAACGUUCCCCACUAGAUAUAAAGGUCCCUCUUGAAUCAGCCUUUAGCAAGGAAGAAACUAAGAGCAGAACCAGUGUGCUGUCUGAAAGUAUGAUGGCAUUUGUGUCUGGCUGGAACUCUGCUGAGGUUGACUCCGAAGUUACCUGGCUACCUGAUUAUUCUGACGAAGCACAUGAUGGCAAAGUAGGCACUCUAAGUGGCUCUUUCCUAUCCAACCAUGCUGGAGUGCGCUACUUAGAAGCAUUACUAGACAGAGGAGCAAAAGAUGGGUUGGUGUUGAUUAAGAAAUGGCUUAUGGAGGCUUUACAGCUUGAAAAGCUGUCCUCUCCAUCUAAAGGUCGACAGACGGCUUCUAUUUCAGAGCUUCGUUCUAUGGUGCAGAUGCUCUGUCAACACGAGCUGUCCUUGGUAAGAAACAGAGGGGUUAUUCAGUUGGCACUGGCUGCUGAAAUGGCUCUCCAGGAACCUCAAAGUACUCGCUGGGAGGCCUUUACAAGUGCUGAGAGAAUAUUAAGUGUAACAUCAGCCGAGACAACUCAAAGUCUUGCCAGCGAGAUUCGUGAUUUCAUCAACACCAGCACUUCAGUGGAAUCUCACAAACAUGGUAAUACCAUGGGGUCUACGCAAGGCCUUCUGACUUUCCAGGACAUAUUACUUCUAACGAUUAUUGGGUAUAUCUUGGCUGGCGAAAACUUUCCUACAUCGAUAGCUGGUGGUCCGUUCUCUUGGGAAGAUGAACGGUCACUGAAAGAUGUUGUGGUGGACUCUAUCCUUGAGAGGCCAUCAUCUGUGAAGUUCCGGUUCCUUGAUGGUUUGGAGAAGGAACUUGAAGCUAAAGGUAGAUCUAAAGAUGGUGAUAGAAAUAAGGACUCUAGUGAGCCUAUUUCUACCACUACCGAUGAUUUUGAUGACCAGUGGGAUAACUGGGACGAUGAUGAUGAUGCUGAUCAUCAAAAAGAGGAAGCUUAUGGGGACAUGCAACUUAAGUUGGAAGUACGGGAUAGGGUAGAUCAACUCUUUAAAUUCUUUCAUAGCUUGUCCAGUAUGAGAUUACGGAAUCAAGCUCUUGGAGAAGGGUUGGCAGCACUGAGUCGGUUUGAGACUGAUAGUUACUCAAGAAAAGGCUUGCUUUAUAAGUUGAUAUUAGCUGUGUUGACGAGAUUUUACAUACCUGGCCUUGAGUACCAUUCAUCAGCUGUUGGCCAUUUAUUUAAAAGCGGAUUGGGUAGGUUUGGCCUUGGACAGUCCAAACCAAGUUUUGGGGAUCAAAGUUGUCUCAUCGUUUUUGUUGUGGGAGGUAUCAAUACUCUUGAGGUCCGGGAAGUCAUGAAGGCAAUCUCAGAGAGCGGCAGACCUGAUGUGGAGCUCAUUCUUGGUGGUACAACCCUUCUCACCCCAGAUGACAUGUUUGAGUUAAUGUUGGGCUCCAGCUUUACUUAG
This 2562-nucleotide ribosomal RNA is filed under the name Triticum aestivum (bread wheat). RNAcentral's name for it is "partial small subunit ribosomal RNA". Lineage: Eukaryota; Viridiplantae; Streptophyta; Magnoliopsida; Poales; Poaceae. The record is from RNAcentral.